This is a long non-coding RNA of Thamnophis elegans (Western terrestrial garter snake), 1005 nucleotides long. RefSeq lists it as uncharacterized. The record is from RefSeq and is a predicted model, not a curated record. Lineage: Eukaryota; Metazoa; Chordata; Lepidosauria; Squamata; Natricidae. The transcript is spliced from 2 exons.
CAUUUUUGAUGCUCUGUGCAUGCGUGGGCUCACAUUGCAACCAAACAGGUAGCAAAGGAUGACAUUCUCUUAGUAAUGUUGUCACAUAGCCAUUUCCUGAUUCUAUAUCACAAUAUGAGCAUGUGCAUACGCAGAGCGUCAAAAAUGGACGUGAUGAUGUGUGGGUGGGCAGGUGGAUGGAGCCUGCUACAGAGCACGCCUGCAAAGGUAAGCAAAUAGCAAGGGGGAGAAAUCCGCCGUGCCACAUGAUUUAGAUUAGCUAGAAAGCAGGAAAUCCUGCUGCCUAACUAAUAUACAUCGCGCAUCAUAGCUACGUUGGAAAAUCAUAGCAUUUUUUUUUACUACUAGUUCAGGUGAACCAGUCCCAGCCAGUAGCAUUUCACCACUGCUACAACCUCAUAUUAAUACUAAAUUAAAAAUUAACAUGAACAGAUAUUGAGUGCUUACUUUGUUGAAAUUGGUUUUUUUUCUAACCAGAACUUGUAUAUAUGGCACAAUUUUAGUUGUAACUAUUUAUUAACUAUACUGUUCGUUUACCCUAUAUGGUUUUAGAAUGUAUUUUCAUAUUCAUACGUUAACAUGUGAGUUCUCCUAGGAGGAUUUUAUUCUAAAAGUCAGAGUGCAAAUAUUUGAAUUAGACAUAAAUUGCUGCUUUUGCUUCCAAGGUUCCAAACAGUUCAAAAACUAAUCUGCCAAUUUUUAACACUUAUUGAAUGUCCAAUUUUUUAAAAAAGAAAAGUUAGUUUACGUAUUUGUUUGAGCUGAUACUUGAUGAAGAAAAGUGGAUAAUAAUUACAAUAGAUUAUAUUUAUUAUUGUAAGAAAAGUCAAACUUAUCUCCAGAAUCUGGUUUGUUGCAUGCACAGGCCAAUGUGUUUUCAAGUAUUCUAUGCCAAACUGUUUACAUGUUAUAUGUCAAAACAAAACUUGAACUUGUCUUGGUUACUAAGACGCCGCCCAGCAAAACAACUGUGCAUAUAGGAGCCAACAGGAACAGACAGAUAGA